AGUGAACGCUGGCGGUAGGCCUAACACAUGCAAGUCGAACGGCAGCACAGUAAGAGCUUGCUCUUACGGGUGGCGAGUGGCGGACGGGUGAGGAAUACAUCGGAAUCUACUUUUUCGUGGGGGAUAACGUAGGGAAACUUACGCUAAUACCGCAUACGACCUACGGGUGAAAGCAGGGGAUCUUCUGACCUUGCGCGAUUGAAUGAGCCGAUGUCGGAUUAGCUAGUUGGCGGGGUAAAGGCCCACCAAGGCGACGAUCCGUAGCUGGUCUGAGAGGAUGAUCAGCCACACUGGAACUGAGGCACGGACCAGACUCCUGCGGGAGGCAGCAGUGGGGAAUAUUGGACAAUGGGCGCAAGCCUGAUCCAGCCAUACCGCGUGGGUGAAGAAGGCCUUCGGGUUGUAAAGCCCUUUUGUUGGGAAAGAAAAGCAGCAGGUUAAUACCCCGCUGUUCUGACGGUACCCAAAGAAUAAGCACCGGCUAACUUCGUG
RNAcentral lists this ribosomal RNA (492 nucleotides) under uncultured bacterium. RNAcentral describes it as "partial 16S ribosomal RNA". It matches the Rfam family "Bacterial small subunit ribosomal RNA", at positions 29 to 507 of the family's 1533-position model. The record is from RNAcentral.